UCAUGGGCGAUGGCCUGAACCAGCCNAGUAGCGUGAAGGAUGAAGGCUCUAUCCGGUCGUAAACUUCUUUUAUACGGGAAUAAAGUGAGGCACGUGUGCCUUUUUGUAUGUACCGUAUGAAUAAGGAUCGGCUAACUCCGUGCCAGCAGCCGCGGUAAUACGGAGGAUCCGAGCGUUAUCCGGAUUUAUUGGGUUUAAAGGGAGCGUAGGCGGACGCUUAAGUCAGUUGUGAAAGUUUGCGGCUCAACCGUAAAAUUGCAGUUGAUACUGGGUGUCUUGAGUACAGUAGAGGCAGGCGGAAUUCGUGGUGUAGCGGUGAAAUGCUUAGAUAUCACGAAGAACUCCGAUUGCGAAGGCAGCCUGCUGGACUGUAACUGACGCUGAUGCUCGAAAGUGUGGGUAUCAAACAGGAUUAGAUACCCUGGUAGUCCAAGGGCGAAUUC
This 443-nucleotide ribosomal RNA is filed under the name uncultured bacterium. Its description in RNAcentral is "SSU rRNA". It matches the Rfam family "Bacterial small subunit ribosomal RNA", at positions 369 to 808 of the family's 1533-position model. The record is from RNAcentral.